UAGGGACUCUUCCGCAAUGGGCGAAAGCCUGACGGAGCAACGCCGCGUGAGUGAUGAAGGUCUUCGGAUCGUAAAACUCUGUUAUUAGGGAAGAACAAAUGUGUAAGUAACUAUGCACGUCUUGUCGGUACCUAAUCAGAAAGCCACGGCUAACUACGUGCCAGCAGCCGCGUUAAUACGUAGGUGGCAAGCGUUAUCCGGAAUUAUUGGGCGUAAAGCGCGCGUAGGCGGUUUUUUAAGUCUUAUGUGAAAGCCCACGGCUCAACCGUGGAUGGUCAUUUGAAACUGGAAAACUUGAGUGCAGAAGAGGAAAGUAGGAUUCCAUGUGUAGCGGUGACAUGCGCAGAGAUAUGGAGGAACACCAGUGGCGAAGGCGACUUUCUGGUCUGUAACUGACGCUGAUGUGCGAAAGCGUGGGGAUCAAACAGG
This 429-nucleotide ribosomal RNA is filed under the name Actinomycetes bacterium. RNAcentral's name for it is "Actinobacteria bacterium partial 16S ribosomal RNA". It matches the Rfam family "Bacterial small subunit ribosomal RNA", at positions 355 to 776 of the family's 1533-position model. The record is from RNAcentral. Lineage: Bacteria; Bacillati; Actinomycetota; Actinomycetes.